Coniochaeta sp. PMI_546 is the source of this 91-nucleotide non-coding RNA. Lineage: Eukaryota; Fungi; Ascomycota; Sordariomycetes; Coniochaetales; Coniochaetaceae. The record is from the annotation of a GenBank genome assembly.
GGCCUUGUGGCGCAAUGGUAGCGCGUUCGACUCCAGUUCUUCCCGAAUCUGCGAAAUCGAGAGGUUAUCCGUUCAAGCCGGGUCAGGGUCA